CUCUCUCCUAUCCCUCUCUCUCUUUAAAAAAAAAUAGGAACAUGUUCUAAGAAGUAUUGCUGAAGUAUAGAAAUAUUUUUCCCAUCGAAACAUCUUAUUUGUACACCAGGACUAUUUUCUUCUUCCUAACUUAUGAAACUUCAAAGAGAAUAUCAAAUUGCAGGUGGUGGAUAUAAGUGAAGUAUCAGAUAGUGUCUUAUAUGUUGCUCACCACGACUUUGAGAUGGUGGAAUGAGGUACAAGUAAGUGACCCUAGAAUGCUUUAUGGACAGUGUAUGACUCACUCCAAGGCACCUUGCCAUAUAUCAACAGUUAUUAGGAUAGACACAGCCUGAGAUUCUGGUGGUUCCCUUGUUUUAUUGCCACUGUAUCCCCGUAAGCAAAAUCUGGGAAACAACUUGGGAACUACUCCAGGAACAUGUGGCAUCUCAGCUAUGUCUGCUGGUGGGCACAUACAGGUACUUCUUUCAGGUGCCAGUUUUUCUGUUGGACUGAGAGCUUCUUAGAAGAACCCCAAGAGAUGAGGAGAAGCAUCCAGUACAAACUGACUUGUGAGGAGGGUGAAGAAAACUACUUGUGUGUUCUGGAAGUUUUAGUAUGACAUGGUUCCAAGCAGAUACAUUUAUGACUCCCUUAUGUAAAAAAGGAUCAGAGAUGAGGGGAUGUUGUUAUAAAACAUUGGUAUCUUCAUGGACAAAUAGGAAAGACAAAUAUUUACAUCUCUCUUAUCACAAACUCCCUUUAGCUAUAGUUAAACAUACUGGGUAGGUUAAAAGCUCAUCACUGGAGUAUAUUUAAUCAGCAAAUGGUAAAUGAAUAAAAUUCAUUUUCCACUUGGUUUAUAUUUCACAUGGGAAUGCUUCUACCAGCUUGUGAGACCAUUUACAUUGGUAGUUGUAUUUUUUGGUUGCCUUGCCCCUCCUCUGUGCGUUCAUAAGUGUAAGCACUUUGAA
RNAcentral lists this long non-coding RNA (953 nucleotides) under Marmota monax (woodchuck). The record is from RNAcentral. Lineage: Eukaryota; Metazoa; Chordata; Mammalia; Rodentia; Sciuridae.